RNAcentral lists this ribosomal RNA (685 nucleotides) under Bacillus sp. SRI11. RNAcentral describes it as "bacterial SSU rRNA". It matches the Rfam family "Bacterial small subunit ribosomal RNA", at positions 99 to 770 of the family's 1533-position model. The record is from RNAcentral. Lineage: Bacteria; Bacillati; Bacillota; Bacilli; Caryophanales; Bacillaceae.
CGGACGGGUGAGUAACACGUGGGUAACCUCCCAUAAGACUGGGAUAACUCCGGGAAACCGGGGCUAAUACCGGAUAACAUUUUGAACUGCAUGGUUCGAAAUUGAAAGGCGGCUUCGGCUGUCACUUAUGGAUGGACCCGCGUCGCAUUAGCUAGUUGGUGAGGUAACGGCUCACCAAGGCAACGAUGCGUAGCCGACCUGAGAGGGUGAUCGGCCACACUGGGACUGAGACACGGCCCAGACUCCUACGGGAGGCAGCAGUAGGGAAUCUUCCGCAAUGGACGAAAGUCUGACGGAGCAACGCCGCGUGAGUGAUGAAGGCUUUCGGGUCGUAAAACUCUGUUGUUAGGGAAGAACAAGUGCUAGUUGAAUAAGCUGGCACCUUGACGGUACCUAACCAGAAAGCCACGGCUAACUACGUGCCAGCAGCCGCGGUAAUACGUAGGUGGCAAGCGUUAUCCGGAAUUAUUGGGCGUAAAGCGCGCGCAGGUGGUUUCUUAAGUCUGAUGUGAAAGCCCACGGCUCAACCGUGGAGGGUCAUUGGAAACUGGGAGACUUGAGUGCAGAAGAGGAAAGUGGAAUUCCAUGUGUAGCGGUGAAAUGCGUAGAGAUAUGGAGGAACACCAGUGGCGAAGGCGACUUUCUGGUCUGUAACUGACACUGAGGCGCGAAAGCGUGGGGAGCA